GACGAACGUUGGCGGCGUGGAUUAGGCAUGCAAGUCGAACGGUAUCAUCCUUUCGGGGGUGAGAGAGUGGCGAACUGGUGAGUAACACGUAGGUUAUCUACCCUCAAGACGGGACAACCCAGGGAAACUUGGGCUAAUACCGGAUGUGAGCAACUUUUAGUUGUUUGAAAGGUGGCGUAAGCUGUCGCUUGGGGAUGAGCCUGCGUCCUAUUAGUUAGUUGGUGAGGUAACGGCUCACCUAGGCAAUGAUAGGUAGGCGGCCUUAACGGGUGGUCGCCCACACUGGGAUUGAGAUACGGCCCAGACUCCUACGGGAGGCAGCAGUCGAGAAUAGUCUACAAUGGUCGGAAGACUGAUAGUGCGACGCCGCGUGAACGAUGAAUCCCUUCGGGGUGUAAAGUUCUUUUAUAUGUGAGCAGUGCUUCUUAUAUUAACAGUAUGGGGAGAGAGAUAUUAGCAUAUGAAUAAGCAACGGCUAACUCCGUG
Molecule: ribosomal RNA, 486 nt
Filed under: uncultured bacterium
Lineage: Bacteria
Description: bacterial SSU rRNA
Rfam family: Bacterial small subunit ribosomal RNA
Source: RNAcentral